CCUACGGGAGGCAGCAGUCGAGAAUCAUUCACAAUGGGGGAAACCCUGAUGGUGCGACGCCGCGUGGGGGAAUGAAGGUCUUCGGAUUGUAAACCCCUGUCAUGUGGGAGCAAAUUAAAAAGAUAGUACCACAAGAGGAAGAGACGGCUAACUCUGUGCCAGCAGCCGAGGUAAUACAGAGGUCUUAAGCGUUGUUCGGCAUCACUGGGCGUAAAGCGUGCGUAGGCUGUUUCGUAAGUCGUGUGUGAAAGGCGCGGGCUCAACCCGCGGACGGCACAUGAUACUGCGAGACUAGAGUAAUGGAGGUGGAACCGGAAUUCUCGGUGUAGCAGUGGAAUGCGUAGAUAUCGAGAGGAACACUCGUGGCGAAGGCGGGUUCCUGGACAUUAACUGACGCUGAGGCACGAAGGCCAUGGGAGCGAAAGGGAUUAGAUACCCGAGUAGUC
Molecule: ribosomal RNA, 446 nt
Filed under: uncultured bacterium
Lineage: Bacteria
Description: partial 16S ribosomal RNA
Rfam family: Bacterial small subunit ribosomal RNA
Source: RNAcentral